Molecule: ribosomal RNA, 484 nt
Filed under: uncultured bacterium
Lineage: Bacteria
Description: partial 16S ribosomal RNA
Rfam family: Bacterial small subunit ribosomal RNA
Source: RNAcentral
AUUGAACGCUGGCGGCAUGCUUUACACGUGCAAGUCGAACGGCAGCGCGGGCUUCGGCCUGGCGGCGAGUGGCGAACGGGUGAGUAAUACAUCGGAACGUGCCCAGUCGCGGGGGAUAGCCCGGCGAAAGGCGGAUUAAUACCGCAUACGACCCGAGGGUGAAAGCGGGGGAGCUUGGGAUCUCGGGCUAUGGGAGCGGCCGAUGGCUGAUUAGCUAGGUGGUGGGGUAAAGGCCUACCAACGGGACGAUGUGGAGCUGGUGUGAGAGGAGGACGAGCCACACUGGGACUGAGACACGGCCCAGACUCCUACGGGAGGCAGCAGUGGGGAAUUUUGGACAAUGGGCGGAAGCCUGAUCCAGCAGUGCCGGGUGUGUGAUGAAGGCCUUCGGGUUGUAAAGCACUUUUGGCGGGAACGAAAAGGACUGUGCCAAUACCACGGUUCGAUGACGGUACCCGCAGAAUAAGCACCGGCUAACUACGUG